This 441-nucleotide ribosomal RNA is filed under the name uncultured bacterium. RNAcentral describes it as "partial 16S ribosomal RNA". It matches the Rfam family "Bacterial small subunit ribosomal RNA", at positions 338 to 795 of the family's 1533-position model. The record is from RNAcentral.
CCUACGGGGGGCUGCAGUGGGGGAUAUUGCACAAUGGGGGAAACCCUGAUGCAGCGACGCCGCGUGGGUGAAGAAGUAUUUCGGUAUGUAAAGCCCUAUCAGCAGGGAAGAAAGAAGACGGUACCUGACUAAGAAGCCCCGGCUAACUACGUGCCAGCAGCCGCGGUAAUACGUAGGGGGCGAGCGUUAUCCGGAUUCACUGGGUGUAAAGGGAGCGUAGACGGCCGUGCAAGCCAGGAGUGAAAGCCCGGGGCCCAACCCCGGGACUGCUCUUGGAACUGUGCGGCUGGAGUGCGGGAGGGGCAGGCGGAAUUCCUGGUGUAGCGGUGAAAUGCGUAGAUAUCAGGAGGAACACCGGCGGCGAAGGCGGCCUGCUGGACCGCGACUGACGUUGAGGCUCGAAAGCGUGGGGAGCGAACAGGAUUAGAUACCCCUGUAGUC